RNAcentral lists this long non-coding RNA (1675 nucleotides) under Nicotiana benthamiana. RNAcentral describes it as "long non-coding RNA (NBEN_LNC014840)". Lineage: Eukaryota; Viridiplantae; Streptophyta; Magnoliopsida; Solanales; Solanaceae. The record is from RNAcentral.
CCAGAACAAAGGUAAAUUUGUAUUAGAAUAAUAAAAUGUGUGUUAUUCAUUAAUACAAGUCCUACUUAAGUAAACUAUAAAUACAUAGUUGGAAGGAUAUUAUUGAAAGGACUGGGAAUGUUACACACUAACCUUGGGAGGUGCAACCGACACACGACUCCUAACGGCUUGUGCGAACCAACCUCCAUACUUACAUCGUUUUAAUCAUGAAACCAUGGCCAACGAGGCCUCUAAGUAAUAAUACAAAAAAUUUAGAGUGUACGCAACUGACUGUGAAAGAAACAUCAGCAUUUACACAACUUCACAAAUGUUUCCAGCAUAGCCAUAACCAACCAUUAUAUACACACCAAAUACUACUUUGCAAGCCUCUAAGAGUGCUAACAUAUAGUACAUUUCAUGGUCUGGACAGGGCCCCACCGUAUCUAAAAUAACUAAAACAUACAUUUCGAUACCUAUUGAUUUCUGAAUGACUACAACAAAGAAGUGGAGUGAAAUUACCAAUAGGUGGGACAAACAACCUACUGGGGAGGAAGUCACCUAGUCUGUUUGCACUUGUGGGCAUGAACACAAUGCCCAAAAUAAUGGAGCAUCGGUAAGAAAAACGUACUGAGAUAUAAAUACAUGAUUUCAACCAUAAUCGAAAGACAAGCCACAGAGCGGCAAAUUUUAGAAACCAUAAAAAAUAAAAGCAUGCAAGCUUUACAAAAGGCUGAGCAGUUAUUAAGACUACACAUUAAAUAUAUGAUAAUAUUACUCAUCCACUCAAUUGGAUUUUAUAUCGUACCCAACCUCAUAAAGGACUCGGUAAAUUCUUUUUAUUCUAUCACAUCAUACCCAACUCUUAGGAGGUCUUGAUUGUUGCCUCAAUAGAUCUUGGUCGUACUCGUCCACGCAAGGGCUCGAUAGUGUUUAAUUGCACAUAAUUUUGGUACCCAGCCUCAUAUAUAGCUGGGUUGCACCCGGGCACAUAAGGGCUUGAUAGUAUUACACAUUGUAUCUCGUCAUACCUAAUUGAUAAGUGAUUGCACAAAAGGCGAUGUAUCCAACCGAAUAUAGUGCGACUCAAUAAUAAAUACAUAUACAUAAAUGUAAUGCAAAUUCAAUUUCGAGGAAAUACCAAGAUUGAACUCAAAAUGGAUCAUGAAUCAUAUGUUUUCGCACUCAUAAUGCUAUCUGGGAAUACCUGAAACUUGAAGGAAAUCAACCAAUAAGAUCAAUGCAUAAGAAUAGUAACAACGUUAUUGAAAGGGGCUUAGGAUAAAUCAAUCUUACAACAUAGUAACAUUUGAAGUAGGAAGAGAUGUUAUUACUAAGUCAUGCCAAGAAAGAAGUUUGUCCUACAUACUUUUUUUGAAGAACUAGAUACACUUUUGUGAGGUUCAACUCUGCUUCCAAUGAUUCUCCGGAAUUAGUACAACAAGAUAAUAGAAUUAUAGUGAUGAUUCCAAGCUUCUUCAUGGUAGAUCCUACUAGAUUAAUCAUUAACUUGGCCUUAGAUUGUUUUGGAAUUCUAAGGGAGAUUUGAUAGCAUUUUUGGGGUGAAAUAAAGUGGGUGACACUUUCUAGAAUGAAUGAGAAAGAGUAUACUGCCUUCUAUCUUAUGCCAAGUCUAGGAAAUUUCACAGUGCUACAUGAAAAAUGGGUCACCCCAUCCCGGUUGUAGCAUCCAAUGAGA